Molecule: long non-coding RNA, 647 nt
Filed under: Homo sapiens (human)
Lineage: Eukaryota; Metazoa; Chordata; Mammalia; Primates; Hominidae
Description: non-protein coding lnc-SEC11C-4:1
Source: RNAcentral
AGGUGAUGGAAGAUUCACGAGGGUGUUAGCCAUGGAGGUCUGGUGAACCGUGUGCUUUCUUGGGACAUCUGGAGUUUCCUGUCCAGCAUCAGUUAUGCUCGCUACUUGGUGCAUCCGAUUCUGAUCAUCCUUUACAAUGGCCUUCAGGAAACACUUAUUCACCACACUGACACCAACAUGUUCUAUCUUUUCUCUGGACACCGUGUGCUGACCUUCGUCACUGGGCUGGCCCUGACGCUGUUCAUUGAGAAACCAUGUCAGGAACUGAAGCAGCACCUGCUGGGCCAUGAAUGUUCUGGUUAAAACACAAAAGAAUGGAUGGGCCUUGUUGGUAAUGACGAGCAAAGAUGAGGUGGCCUUAUCUAGGUGAUGAAUGCUUGUAUUCCCGAGAAGGGGUGUGAAUCUCAUUUUGUGAAAGUUUAAUAUAUACAUUUUCUUUGCAUUUAAUAUGUGAAAGAGUUCUUAGUUCUUAUGAUGUAAGAGAGUUCUCUAAAUUUUUAGUAGCACAAUAAUAAACUUCUGUUGUACCAUUUUAGCAAACAACAACAACAACAACAACAGAAACUGGAUUUCUUUUUGGUUUAAACUCCAUUUGAUUGUCUGUAUCAAUGAUCACAGGAAAUGAUUAAAUGUCGUGCAUUUAAUGU